GAUAGUUUAAUUGAUCUUUUUGUAUCGUAGUAAAAUUAGAUCAAUAAAAUACAUCCAAUUACAAACAAAAUGUACAUUUAAAUCGUUCAUGAAAACGAUACUUUCAAUAAUCGAUCAAAUAUUCGAUAUAUUAUCGAACAUAACCUAUUAUAUCGAAACACUCUUCUAACGUAUGUUAUCAUCUGUGACAAUUUAGGCUAAUUUAAAGUAUCAAAUUCAUUCAUAUUUGAAUCAUUUGUUGAAAAUUAAUAUACAUAUUAUUAUUAUUAUUAUUAUACAAAAUGUCAAGAACAGUUAACAGUAUAAUAACUAACAGAGAUCGAGAUUGUUUGGCUUGCAGAAUUAUUAGUGGUGGUGGUUUGAUUGGAUCAGGUCUUUAUGUUUCUUAUAAUAGUAAGAAAUUACAAAAAACUAAAGGAAAAGCAGUGAUGUAUACUAUAGCAAGUGGGCUGGUAUUAUUGGGAACAGCUAGGAUACUAAAUCUACCACCGUUUCGAGACCAAUUUACUAAUCAUAAUUAAACAAUAUUUAAAUAUAAUUGAAACAAUAUAAGAACAAUAUGUAUUAACACAUACAGGAUUAUAAUAAUGCUAUACUUAACAGAGAGAUACUUUCAUAAAAUAUUACUUUCUUUCCUACUGUAGUAUUAUAUUGUACUAACCAGGAGAGGCUCAGAAGUGUAAACCACAAAUUUCUUUUCAAAUUUUGUACACUUGUAAUAGUCUAUGUCUCCUUGUUAGAAAAAUUUCCUGAUAUUAAGAGAACAAUCAUAAAACUUUCAAUGGAUUAUAAGACAUCAGGAAUUUAAAAAAACAACGUACUAGAUUUUCUGUAUGUUUACAGAUUUGAGGUUUACACUUCUAAGCUUCUCCUGGUAAGUAAAUUUUUAUAUUGCAUUCAAUUAAAAUUAAUGAAAAGAAUAAAUAGUGUAAUAGAAAUUCAAGAAAAUAAAAAUCUAAUUAAUUGACAAGUAGGAUUUAGUAAUAAAAUUAAAUAAAAAAGGCAUUUAAGUAUUUUCCUUCGACUUGUUAAUGGUUUUUUUUAUUGCUGUCAACAUAGGAAUAAUACAUCAACGUGCGUUAACGUUUUAUAAAGGUGCAAUCAUUUAAUUUAAGAAACAAAAAAAUGAAAUAAACACAUUUAUAAAAACAUCAAUUUCUCUUUUUAAUGUCAUGGGAGAAUAUAUAUAUAUUGUGUUGUAUAGUUGAAGGAUUAUUUUGUAUAGUUUUUUCAAUUU
Molecule: long non-coding RNA, 1237 nt
Organism: Polistes dominula (European paper wasp)
Lineage: Eukaryota; Metazoa; Arthropoda; Insecta; Hymenoptera; Vespidae
Source: RefSeq, a predicted model, not a curated record